CCUUUUCUUUCCGAGGAAAAUGGACAGCAAAGCACAGGGCUCAGCACUCAAACUGUAUAGGUUUCCGCAUUUUGAGGGACAACUACAACUACGGCUUAUCCAUAAAGCAAAGCAAGGGCCAGGAGAUUGAUAGUUGAACCUGGCUGAAGUCAGUGUUGUGUUCAACUCCGCGGGUUGGCUGGUUGGAAGGAUUGCUUUAGGCCGU
RNAcentral lists this long non-coding RNA (205 nucleotides) under Eucalyptus grandis. RNAcentral's name for it is "long non-coding RNA (EGRA_LNC004946)". The record is from RNAcentral. Lineage: Eukaryota; Viridiplantae; Streptophyta; Magnoliopsida; Myrtales; Myrtaceae.